Molecule: ribosomal RNA, 406 nt
Filed under: uncultured bacterium
Lineage: Bacteria
Description: partial 16S ribosomal RNA
Rfam family: Bacterial small subunit ribosomal RNA
Source: RNAcentral
GAUGAACGCUGGCGGCGUGCCUAAUACAUGCAAGUCGAGCGAGCGGCGGACGGGUGAGUAAUGUCUGGGAAACUGCCUGAUGGAGGGGGAUAACUACUGGAAACGGUAGCUAAUACCGCAUACCAUCAGAUGUGCCCAGAUGGGAUUAGCCAGUAGGUGGGGUAAUGGCUCACCUAGGCGACGAUCCCUAGCUGGUCUGAGAGGAUGGCCAGCCACACUGGAACUUGUACACGGUCCAGACUCCUGCGGGAGGCGGCAGUGGGGAAUAUUGCACAAUUGGGGCAAGCCUGAUGCAGCCAUUCCGCGUGUGUGAAGAAGGCCUUCGGGUUGUAAAGCACUUUCAGCGAGGAGGCGUUACUCGCAGAAGAAGCACCGGCUAACUCCGUGCCAGCAGCCGCGGUAAUAC